CCUACGGGAGGCAGCAGUAGGGAAUCUUCCACAAUGGACGAAAGUCUGAUGGAGCAACGCCGCGUGAGUGAAGAAGGUUUUCGGCUCGUAAAGCUCUGUUGUAAGUGAAGAAAGAUAGAGGUAGUAACUGGCCUAUAUUUUGCGGUAAUUUUUCAGAAAGUGACGGCUUACUACUUGCCCGCAGCCGUGGUAAUAAGUAGGUGGCAAGGGUUGUCCGGAGUUUUUUGGUGUAAAGAGAGUGGCGGCGGUUCAGUAAGUCUGAUGUGAAAGCUUUCGGCUCAAACGGAGAAUUGCAUGAGAAACUGUUGAACUUGAGUGCAGAAGAGGAGAGUGGAACUCCAUGUGUAGCGGUGGAAUGCGUAGAUAUAUGGAAGAACACCAGUGGCGAAGGCGGCUCUCUGGUCUGCAACUGACGCUGAGGCUCGAAAGCAUGGGGAGCGAACAGGAUUAGAUACCCGUGUAGUC
This 465-nucleotide ribosomal RNA is filed under the name uncultured bacterium. Its description in RNAcentral is "partial 16S ribosomal RNA". It matches the Rfam family "Bacterial small subunit ribosomal RNA", at positions 338 to 795 of the family's 1533-position model. The record is from RNAcentral.